CAUGGCGACGAUGGGUAGCCGGCCUGAGAGGGUGAACGGCCACACUGGAACUGAGAGACGGUCCAGACUCCUACGGGAGGCAGCAGCUAAGAAUCUUCCGCAAUGGGCGCAAGCCUGACGGAGCGACGCCGCGUGAACGAUGAAGGCCGCAAGGUUGUAAAGUUCUUUUCGGGAAGGAGAAUAAGGGGAGCAGGCAAUGGCUUUCCGAUGCCGUGAAUCCCGGAAUAAGCCCCGGCUAACUACGUGCCAGCAGCCGCGGUAACACGUAGGGGGCGAGCGUUGUUCGGAAUCAUUGGGCGUAAAGGGCGCGCAGGCGGCGUAUAAAGUCUGGCGUGAAAGUCCCCGGCUCAACCGGGGGAUAGCGUUGGAAACUGGUAUGCUUGAGUACGAGAGGGGAUGGCGGAAUUCCAGGUGUAGGGGUGAAAUCUGUAGAUAUCUGGAGGAACACCAACGGCGAAGGCAGCCAUCUGGUUCAGUACUGACGCUGAGGCGCGAAGGUGCGGGGAGCAAACAGGUUUAGAUACCCUGGUAGUCCGCACAGUAAACGAUGUGCACCAGGUGUCGGGCAACAGUUGUUCGGUACCGAAGCAAACGC
This 595-nucleotide ribosomal RNA is filed under the name uncultured bacterium. RNAcentral's name for it is "bacterial SSU rRNA". It matches the Rfam family "Bacterial small subunit ribosomal RNA", at positions 269 to 858 of the family's 1533-position model. The record is from RNAcentral.